This 687-nucleotide long non-coding RNA is filed under the name Sarcophilus harrisii (Tasmanian devil). RNAcentral's name for it is "lncRNA (ENSSHAG00000028944.1)". Lineage: Eukaryota; Metazoa; Chordata; Mammalia; Dasyuromorphia; Dasyuridae. The record is from RNAcentral.
AUUGCUCAAAAUUGGCUCCAGAGUCAGAUUGGGAGCCAACCAUAUUCCUUUGUCUCUGUUGCAAAGGCCAGUUGAGCUGUACAGACAGGAUCAAGGUCCACUCUUCUGAGAAUGGGUUUGAAUUCCUCCCUGCGCAUAUUUCUACAGCAGGAAACACCCUUCUUGCAUCUCUUCUCUCAGGGUCAUGGGGCCCUGAGAGGAUCAAUCAAUGGAAAUGUCCAGAUGCAACACUGACCUUCGACCCCCAGGGGGUGGAGUGAGGGGAGUCAGUCAGUGAUCUUCAAAGUCAUCCAGGUUGAAAACAGUUGUUUGGGCAAUGGAUCACAUGAAUUACUCUGAUAUGGUGGACCCAGAACAGAGACUCGUCAAUCAAAGGAGAGGACCAGACGAAUAGAAAUAUCUCCAGGGCAAGAAGAUUACUCAUCUGGAGUAGUGGAGGAGGUGGGAAAGUCUGGAGAGUUAAGAAUGGAGCUGGGAGUGAAGUGAGUGAGGAGAGAGACAGAGACAGAGAGUCAGAGAAAGAGAGACAGAUACAGAGACACACUCACAGAUAGUGGCAGAGACAGAGAGAGAGAGAGAGAGAUACAGAGAUAUAGAGAAAUAGAGAUAGAGAAGGAUAGAUAAAUGAAUACAGACAAAUACAGAGAUAGAUGUAUAGAUAUAGAGAAAUGGAGAGAUGGAUGGAUG